Molecule: ribosomal RNA, 253 nt
Filed under: uncultured bacterium
Lineage: Bacteria
Description: partial 16S ribosomal RNA
Rfam family: Bacterial small subunit ribosomal RNA
Source: RNAcentral
UACGGAGGGUGCAAGCGUUAUCCGGAUUCACUGGGCUUAAAGGGUGCGUAGGUGGGCUAGUAAGUCCGUGGUGAAAUCUCUGAGCUUAACUCGGAAACUGCCGUGGAUACUAUUAGUCUUGAAUCGCGUGGAGGUAAGCGGAAUAUGUCAUGUAGCGGUGAAAUGCUUAGAUAUGACAUAGAACACCGAUAGCGAAGGCAGCUUGCUACACGAGUAUUGACACUGAGGCACGAAAGCGUGGGGAUCAAACAGG